UAAGGAAUAUUGGUCAAUGGGGGCAACCAUGAACCAGCCAUGCCGCGUGCAGGACGACUGCCCUAUGGGUUGUAAACUGCUUUUGUUAGGGAAUAAACCCCACUACGUGUAGUGGGCUGAAUGUACCUAAAGAAUAAGGAACGGCUAACUCCGUGCCAGCAGCCGCGGUAAUACGGAGGAUCCGAGCGUUAUCCGGAUUUAUUGGGUUUAAAGGGUGCGUAGGCGGCACUUUAAGUCAGGGGUGAAAGACGGCAGCUCAACUGUCGCAGUGCCCUUGAUAAUGAAGUGCUUGAAUGCGGUUGAAGACGGCGGAAUGAGACAAGGAGCGGUGAAAUGCAUAAAUAUGUCUCAGAACACCGAUUGCGAAGGCAGCUGUCUAAGCCGUUAUUGACGCUGAUGCACGAAAGCGGGGGGAUCGGACAGGAU
Molecule: ribosomal RNA, 426 nt
Filed under: Sphingobacterium sp.
Lineage: Bacteria; Pseudomonadati; Bacteroidota; Sphingobacteriia; Sphingobacteriales; Sphingobacteriaceae
Description: bacterial SSU rRNA
Rfam family: Bacterial small subunit ribosomal RNA
Source: RNAcentral